UGCAACCCGACUCCAUGAAGCUGGAUUCGCUAGUAAUCGCGCAUCAGCCACGGCGCGGUGAAUACGUUCCCGGGCCCUUGUACACACCGCCCGUCAAGCCAUGGAAGCCGGGAGUGCCUGAAGUGCGUGAGCGCAAGCAGCGCCCCUAAGGUAAAAACCCGGUGACUGGGGCUAAGUCGUAACAAGGUACC
Molecule: ribosomal RNA, 191 nt
Filed under: uncultured bacterium
Lineage: Bacteria
Description: partial 16S ribosomal RNA
Rfam family: Bacterial small subunit ribosomal RNA
Source: RNAcentral